CAGUACUUCCGGUGCGGGAAACUCCUCGCUGCGGCUCCGAGGGGGCUUGACAGGCUCGGUCCCUGCAAGUAGGUCUCUCUGCUGUUGCCUUCCUUGCGUCUAACCUUCCAGCUCGUUUGCCGCUGCCGUCCCGCCACGCCGGUCUCCGAAGCCGCCCCUUCCCCAUGUGCCGGGGCAGGAGUCCGGAAAGCCAAGACCCGCUCGCCGGUACCCCAUCAUGUCCGAACUGACUAAAGAGCUGAUGGAGCUGGUGUGGGGCUCCAAGAGCAGCCCCGGUCUCUCUGACACCAUCUUCUGCCGCUGGACGCAAGGGUUUGUGUUUAGUGAAUCAGAGGGAUCUGCAUUAGAACAGUUUGAAGGUGGCCCCUGUGCUGUUAUUGCACCCGUUCAGGCAUUUCUUUUGAAGAAGCUCCUGUUUUCUUCUGAGAAGUCUUCUUGGAGGGAUUGCCAAGAGGGAGAGCGGAAGGAACUCCUUUGUCACACCUUAUGUGCUAUUUUAGAAACUGCUUGUUGUAGCGACUCUGGCCCGUACUGCUUGGCUUCAUGGUUAAGAGGAAAGACGGCUGAGGAGACUGCUGGUCUUCCUGGGAGUCCUGCACAGUCUAGUUGCCAAAUGGACCAUUCUUCUGCCUUGGCUGUCGAAGAGCUUGGCUUUGAGCGAUUUCAUGCAUUAAUUCAAAAAAGAUCAUUCAGAAGUUUAUCAGAAUUAAAAGAUGCUGUCUUGGACCAGUAUUCAGUGUGGGGAAACAAAUUUGGAGUAUUGCUUUUUCUGUAUUCUGUGUUACUGACAAAGGGCAUUGAAAACAUAAAAAAUGAAAUUGAAGAUUCAAGUGAACCUUUGAUAGAUCCUGUGUAUGGACAUGGCAGCCAAAGUUUAAUUAACCUCCUUCUAACGGGACACGCAGUUUCUAACGUAUGGGACGGUGAUAGAGAAUGCUCAGGAAUGAAACUUCUUGGUAUACAUGAACAAGCAGCUGUAGGAUUCUUAACACUGAUGGAAGCAUUAAGAUACUGUAAGGUUGGUUCUUACUUGAAAUCUCCAAAAUUCCCUAUUUGGAUUGUUGGCAGUGAAACUCACCUCACCGUAUUUUUUGCCAAGGAUAUGGCUUUAGUUGCCCCUGAGGCUCCUUCAGAACAAGCCAGAAGAGUUUUUCAAACUUACGAUCCAGAAGAUAAUGGAUUCAUACCUGAUUCACUCCUAGAAGAUGUGAUGAAAGCAUUGGACCUUGUUUCAGAUCCUGAAUAUAUAAAUCUCAUGAAGAAUAAAUUAGAUCCAGAAGGAUUAGGAAUCAUAUUAUUGGGUCCAUUUCUUCAAGAAUUUUUUCCUGAUCAGGGUUCCAGUGGUCCAGAGUCUUUUACUGUCUACCACUACAAUGGACUGAAGCAAUCAAAUUACAAUGAAAAGGAAGGAGAUUAUUCUAGGAGUCUCUUCACUAUCAGAGCAUAUUUUAGACCUGGACUCAGUGAGCUCUUCAUUGGAAUGUUGGAGCAGUAGUGUCACUGGGACAAGAUAACUCCAUCUACAUACAUGUUGUUACCCUUGGGUGUUGUAGAUAUUACCAAAUCAAGUUUAGUGUGCUGAAAGUUACUGAUCUGUUUAAAUGGAGAAAGAAGGGGUAAGAGUGAGAUUUUUGAUUUAGAAAAAUAUUUUAAAGGAUUUAAAUUAACAUCCAUAACACCUAGCAUUUAUUGAGCAUUUACCUGGAAUUGGCUUAAGCACUUUGUUUUAUCUGAAGUUUAACACCAUCCCAUGAAGUAAGUAUUGCCUGUAUAUCCCCCUUUUACAGUGGAGGAAACUGCCGCAUGGGAGAGGUAAGCAGCUUGCCGCCGUCAGGCAGCCGGGAAACGGCGGAGCUGCGACGGGAGCCGAGGGUGUCCCCCUUAGAGCCCGCGGCUCACCCGCUGUGCUUUGCUCCACGGACAAAGGCACAUCAGUGCUUCACGUCCAGAUAUACGCACCGGCUUUAAAUCAAAACUUUGGUCUCGCCCAUUCACCCUCUUUGAUUAAUGAGCUUUGCCUACACCUAAGAUACAGCUCCUGUGUUUGCAUUUAUGCCAGUAACAGUCACAGUAGCUAUAGCUAAUAUUAGAAGGUGUAAAGCCUAACGUGCCUUUUUUGUGUGUGUGGGGGAAUACAGAAGUUAUUCCUUUAUUUUACUAUAACUUUUAAAUCUCAGAAAGCAGAAACCAAACCAAAAAACCAACUAUUUAUACAAAGAAAAUAAUAAACUAUAAAACUGUACUAAGGGAGUAAAGGAAGACUUGAACAAAUGAUGACAGAAAGGGUGAUAAUUGAGCACGCUGUGUUGCAGAGAGCAGGGCGAUUCCCGGCAGCGUCAACAGACUCACCCCUCACAGUUGGGAGCUCCCACUGGCUUUUGAGUUGGAAGGUGCCAUAGAGACAGUUGGUGCUGAACCGCUAUUUACUUCCCUCACGAAUGGCCUCCGGUGUCUUGAAAUACUGUGGCAGGGGGUGUCUUCUUCCAGUGCCAGCAACUGGCCCCAUUGUCCUGAAGCAAGUGGUUCCGUUUUUAAUACCUUAAACGAUUAACCUCUGUACUAGAGUAUAAUUGCUCUACAAUGGUGUGUCAGUUUCUGCUUUAUAACGAAGUGAAUCAGCUAUACACAUACAUGUAUCCCCAUAUCUCCUCCCUCUUGCGUCUCCCUCCCACCCUCGCUAUCCCACACCUCUAGGUGGUCACAAAGCACAGAGCUGAUCUCCCUGUGCGGCUGCUUCCCACUAGCUGUUUUACAUUUGGUGGCUAACAUGCCUUUUUAAUUUGAAAUACCCGUGCUGGUUUCAGAUGUAUCUAAAUUGGGGAUGGCUAGAGAAAAUAGAUCAUAAUGCAUAUUAGAUGCAUAAUUUCAGUUAGAGCAAAUCUAAACCUGCGACUAAAACUUAUUUUCAUAACAAUAUAAAUUAGAACUUUUGUUACAUUAGGUUUGAAGAUCUUUUUCAUAGUAAAAUGAUUGGCUGAUAUCUAUAGCAAAAUAUAAAUUGUCAGUAAGCCAGCUUGUAUGCUCUGUUCUAAUGUGUGUAAAUGAGUGCUUCCUCUAGAGUUUGAAGUUUUAUGUAGCCUUGUCAUAGAAGGUACUUUAUAGUCACUACUUAGUUCCUUGCCUAUACGAUCCCUGCAAGGUAGGCAGUCAAAUAUUAUCCAUAUUUUACAGAUGAGGCCUCUGAGACAGGGAGAUUAAGUGACUCACCCAGGGUCACACAGCAAGUCAUUGGCAGAGCAGGGAUUGGAACUGAGUUCCUGAUUCCCAAUCGUGUCCUUGGUCUGCUUGACCACGCUACCUGUAUAUAGUAAUGUAUGUGGAAGGAACCGCAGUUGUUAUGGGUUUUGAAGAUCCCAUGCUACAGACAGAUGACACUCCUAUUAAACGCUGUCUCCAAACCAAAUGGCCAUACAUUGAAUUACUCUGGACCACAGAUCGGUCUCCUUCACUAAACUGAUUUGCCGAAGUAUUUAUAAGGAAGAUUGUAGUAGCAGAUGUUGAAAGAGGGAUGAAAGACUGGCGAUUGG
RNA transcript from Orcinus orca (killer whale), 3527 nucleotides. It is a transcript of the gene named MINDY lysine 48 deubiquitinase 3, with no coding region annotated. Lineage: Eukaryota; Metazoa; Chordata; Mammalia; Artiodactyla; Delphinidae. The record is from RefSeq and is a predicted model, not a curated record. The transcript has 16 exons.